Molecule: long non-coding RNA, 581 nt
Organism: Vigna radiata var. radiata (mung bean)
Lineage: Eukaryota; Viridiplantae; Streptophyta; Magnoliopsida; Fabales; Fabaceae
Exons: 3
Source: RefSeq, a predicted model, not a curated record
UAGAAAGUUUGCCAGACUCUGCCGUCGCCGACUGUUGAAGGCUCUACCAGCAUUGUCGAAGGUUCUGAGAACACUUCUCGCUGGAAAGAGAAGCAAAUCUGCAACCCAAAGGUGUUGUUUAGGGCUAGAAUUGACUGAAGAAAAGUUUCUGAGCAUAUGAUUGUAUUGGUUUUCUAUACAAGGAAUAUAUCUUUGGAUUUCCUGAAGCAAAGACCAUAAUUCAGUGGCUUGCAGCUUCUCAGCAAUCUUGAAUGGUGGAGGAGCACUGGGGUCUUAUAUAACUAGGCAUACACCAGUUAUAUUCUCUCCAUUCUCAACAUUUUAAUUUUGAUUAAUUUGGGUUGUAUGACACAAUUGUCUAUUUUUUAUCAAAUUUGUACGGUUGUUGUUUCUUCUAUGUAUAAUUAUUUUAUCCAAUGUGGCUUUAGUAAUACCUUAUUGUCUAUUAUUCAUCAAAUUUGUCCUGUUGUUGUUUCUUCUAUGUAUGAUUGUUUUAUCCAAUGUGGCUUUAGUAAUACUCCAUAUCUGAGACUGCAAUUAAUCAUUGUAUUAUGAUUUUACUUUUGAACUAAUUUUGAAAU